This 497-nucleotide ribosomal RNA is filed under the name uncultured bacterium. Its description in RNAcentral is "partial 16S ribosomal RNA". It matches the Rfam family "Bacterial small subunit ribosomal RNA", at positions 28 to 507 of the family's 1533-position model. The record is from RNAcentral.
GAUGAACGCUGGCGGCGUGCCUAAUACAUGCAAGUCGAGCGAACAGACGAGGAGCUUGCUCCUCUGACGUUAGCGGCGGACGGGUGAGUAACACGUGGAUAACCUACCUAUAAGACUGGGAUAACUUCGGGAAACCGGAGCUAAUACCGGAUAAUAUAUUGAACCGCAUGGUUCAAUAGUGAAAGACGGUUUUGCUGUCACUUAUAGAUGGAUCCGCGCCGCAUUAGCUAGUUGGUAAGGUAACGGCUUACCAAGGCGACGAUGCGUAGCCGAACUGAGAGGGUGAUCGGCCACACUGGAACUGAGACACGGUCAAGACUCCUACGGGAGGCAGCAGUAGGGAAUCUUCCGCAAUGGGCGAAAGCCUGACGGAGCAACGCCGAGUGAGUGAUGAAGGUCUUCGGAUCGUAAAACUCUGUUAUUAGGGAAGAACAAAUGUGUAAGUAACUAUGCACGUCUUGACGGUACCUAAUCAGAAAGCCACGGCUAACUACGUG